GAUGACCUCGUCAAACAGAAAGGAUCAUGUAGUUUUUUAACCCUCCAUGCUGAUAAUGCACCUCAGGGACUCUCCUUUCAGCAUGUAGUCAAAUGCUUUGUUAAUCUCCGAGAAAGAAACAUAGUGAGUGAUGAACUUUUCCACUUCCAGCUCCUUCUUCAUGUACAUUUCCACGACAGAUGGAAGAUCACUGCGAGGCUUGUAAUUGCCAAAGAAAGUUCCUUUGAGAGUUCUUUCAUUCAACAGAUUCAUAGGAUGAGUUUUGAACGAGUCAUCCUUGCUUGGGACGCCCACAAGUACGGCAACACCCCAACCAUCAUGAACACAUUCAAAUGCUGAGAUCAUGGCUUGGAUACUCCCAGUGCAUUCAACACUCCGAUCGACUCCUCCAUCAGUCAUAUCAGCAAUCACCUGUUGAACAGGCUUAUCAUAAUCUUUUGGAUUCACAAACUCAGUGACACCAAACUUCUUGGCUUCUUCAAAUCGAUUAGGAUUCAAAUCAACACCAAUGAUUCUUGAAGCUCCAGAUAUCCUUGCCCCUUCUGCAGCUGCGAGGCCAACAGCACCUAGUCCAAAAAUUGCAACAGAUUGACCCCUUUU
This 600-nucleotide unclassified non-coding RNA is filed under the name Hevea brasiliensis (rubber tree). Lineage: Eukaryota; Viridiplantae; Streptophyta; Magnoliopsida; Malpighiales; Euphorbiaceae. The record is from RNAcentral.